UGAUCUGGCUCAGAAUGAACGUUGGCGGCGUGGAUUAGGCAUGCAAGUCGAGCGAGAAGUUUUAAAAAGAUACCUCGGUUGAUUUUUAAAAUGGACAGCGGCGAAAGGGAGAGUAACGAGUAGAUACGUACCCAAGGGUCCGGAAUAGCAGGGGGAAACCGCUGGUAAUGCCGGAUAAUGUUUCCGAACCAAAGAUUUAUUGCCCUCGGAUCGGUCUGCUUACUAUUAGCUUGUUGGUGGGGUAACGGCCUACCAAGGCUCAGAUGGUUAGCGGGUGUGAGAGCAUGGCCCGUCUCACUGGGACUGAGACACUGCCCAGACACCUACGGGUGGCUGCAGUCGANAAUCUUCCGCAAUGGACGAAAGUCUGACGGAGCGACGCCGCGUGCGGGAUGAAGGCCCUCGGGUUGUAAACCGCUGUCAUAGGGGAGGAAAUUUUGACCGAUCCUAAGAGGAAGCGCAGGCUAAGUUCGUGCCAGCAGCCGCGGUAAUACGAACUGUGCAAACGUUAUUCGGAAUCACUGGGCUUAAAGGGUGCGU
RNAcentral lists this ribosomal RNA (540 nucleotides) under uncultured bacterium. RNAcentral describes it as "bacterial SSU rRNA". It matches the Rfam family "Bacterial small subunit ribosomal RNA", at positions 14 to 572 of the family's 1533-position model. The record is from RNAcentral. RNAcentral also lists the same sequence under 1 other name.